GAUGAACGCUAGCUACAGGCUUAACACAUGCAAGUCGAGGGGUAGCAGGGUAGCAAUACCGCUGACGACCGGCGCACGGGUGAGUAACACGUAUCCAACCUUCCCACAACUCAGGAAUAGCCUUUCGAAAGAAAGAUUAAUACCUGAUAGUACUUAACAAAGGCAUCUUUGAUAAGUUAAAGAUUAAUCGGUUAUGGAUGGGGAUGCGUUCCAUUAGAUAGUUGGUGAGGUAACGGCUCACCAAGUCUUCGAUGGAUAGGGGUUCUGAGAGGAAGGUCCCCCACAUUGGUACUGAGACACGGACCAAACUCCUACGGGAGGCAGCAGUGAGGAAUAUUGGUCAAUGGGCGAGAGCCUGAACCAGCCAAGUAGCGUGAAGGAUGAAGGUCCUAUGGAUUGUAAACUUCUUUUAUAGUAGAAUAAAGUGACCUACGUGUAGGUUUUGUAUGUAUACUAUGAAUAAGGAUCGGCUAACUCCGUGCCAGCAGCCGCGGUAAAAUAGCGU
Molecule: ribosomal RNA, 505 nt
Filed under: uncultured bacterium
Lineage: Bacteria
Description: bacterial SSU rRNA
Rfam family: Bacterial small subunit ribosomal RNA
Source: RNAcentral